RNAcentral lists this small nuclear RNA (22 nucleotides) under Arabidopsis thaliana (thale cress). RNAcentral describes it as "snRNA_06185". The record is from RNAcentral. Lineage: Eukaryota; Viridiplantae; Streptophyta; Magnoliopsida; Brassicales; Brassicaceae.
AAGCGUUCUUGGGCGAGAGUAG